This is a long non-coding RNA of Topomyia yanbarensis, 379 nucleotides long. RefSeq lists it as uncharacterized. The record is from RefSeq and is a predicted model, not a curated record. The transcript has 3 exons. Lineage: Eukaryota; Metazoa; Arthropoda; Insecta; Diptera; Culicidae.
CAGCCCUACCCAACCACUGACAAGAGGAUCGACUAUCAAAAGGUCACACCGGUGUGACGAAGCUUUAUAUAUAAAAAAUUCAUUGCGCGAGGCGAAUCGUUAAAAUUUAUUAUUCUAACUUAAACCUAAAAAUUUAUUACUACAUUCCGCUGUACAACUAUCUCUACAUUUACUCGGACCUACGGUAAAGUUAAAAGGCUUUAGGAAAACGUAACCUAAAUUUAUUAAUUAAAACAUCAGGACAGGUUUCUACGAAUAAGCACUUUAUUUCGCUGUUUGAAUUGUUGCGUGAUAGCGAAGGGCUACUACAGUGAGUACAAUCAAAUACAAAUUAAAUACGCCAAGGUUCCAUACAAAAGGGUGAUCAUUUUAUGACUCA